GAUGAACGCUGGCGGCGUGCCUAAUACAUGCAAGUCGAGCGAACAGACGAGGAGCUUGCUCCUCUGACGUUAGCGGCGGACGGGUGAGUAACACGUGGAUAACCUACCUAUAAGACUGGGAUAACUUCGGGAAACCGGAGCUAAUACCGGAUAAUAUAUUGAACCGCAUGGUUCAAUAGUGAAAGACGGUUUUGCUGUCACUUAUAGAUGGAUCCGCGCCGCAUUAGCUAGUUGGUAAGGUAACGGCUUACCAAGGCGACGAUGCGUAGCCGACCUGAGAGGGUGAUCGGCCACACUGGAACUGAGACACGGUCCAGACUCCGACGGGAGGCAGCAGUAGGGAAUCUUCCGCAAUGGGCGAAAGCCUGACGGAGCAACGCCGCGUGAGUGAUGAAGGUCUUCGGAUCGUAAAACUCUGUUAUUAGGGAAGAACAAAUGUGUAAGUAACUAUGCACGUCUUGACGGUGCCUAAUCAGAAAGCCACGGCUAACUACGUG
Molecule: ribosomal RNA, 497 nt
Filed under: uncultured bacterium
Lineage: Bacteria
Description: partial 16S ribosomal RNA
Rfam family: Bacterial small subunit ribosomal RNA
Source: RNAcentral